This 395-nucleotide ribosomal RNA is filed under the name uncultured bacterium. RNAcentral describes it as "partial 16S ribosomal RNA". It matches the Rfam family "Bacterial small subunit ribosomal RNA", at positions 523 to 918 of the family's 1533-position model. The record is from RNAcentral.
AUACGUAGGGUGCAAGCGUUAAUCGGAUUUACUGGGCGUAAAGCGUGCGCAGGCGGUUUUGUAAGGCUGUGGUGAAAUCCCCCGGCUCAACCGGGGAAGUGCCAUUGUGACUGCAAGGCUGGAGGGCGGCAGAGGGGGGUGGAAUUCCCCGUGUAGCGGUGAAAUGCGUAGAUAUGGGGAGGAACACCGAUGGCGAAGGCAAUCCUGUGGGCCUGCUGUGGCGCUCAUGCACGAAAGCGUGGGGAGCAAACAGGAUUAGAUACCCUGGUAGUCCACGGCCUAAGCGAUGUCAUCUGGUUGUUGGGGAUUUAUUUUCUCAGUAACGAAGCUAACGCGUGAAGUUGACCGCCUGGGGAGUACGGCCGCAAGGUUAAAACUCAAAUGAAUUGACGGGG